RNAcentral lists this ribosomal RNA (142 nucleotides) under uncultured eukaryote. Its description in RNAcentral is "partial small subunit ribosomal RNA". It matches the Rfam family "Eukaryotic small subunit ribosomal RNA", at positions 1296 to 1460 of the family's 1831-position model. The record is from RNAcentral.
AGUUCGUGGAUUAAUUUGUCUGGUUAAUUCCGUUAACGAACGAGACCUUGGCUCGCUAAUUGAGUUUCAGUACUACCCGUAUUGAUACCUUAUUAGAAGGACCAUGUGUCUUCAACACAAGGAAGCGCGAGGCAAUAACAGG